UACGGGGGGGGCAAGCGUUGUUCGGAAUUACUGGGCGUAAAGCGCGCGUAGGCGGCUUUUCAAGUCAGACGUGAAAGCCCCAGGCUUAACCUGGGAAUUGCGUUUGAUACUGUUAAGCUAGAGUGUGGAAGGGGCUACUGGAAUUCCGUGUGUAGCGGUGAAAUGCGUAGAUAUACGGAGGAACACCAGCGGCGAAGGCGACUCACUGGACACAUAUUGACGCUGAGGUGCGAAAGCGUGGGGAGCAAACGGG
RNAcentral lists this ribosomal RNA (253 nucleotides) under uncultured bacterium. RNAcentral describes it as "partial 16S ribosomal RNA". It matches the Rfam family "Bacterial small subunit ribosomal RNA", at positions 524 to 776 of the family's 1533-position model. The record is from RNAcentral.